This 839-nucleotide ribosomal RNA is filed under the name uncultured bacterium. Its description in RNAcentral is "bacterial SSU rRNA". It matches the Rfam family "Bacterial small subunit ribosomal RNA", at positions 61 to 889 of the family's 1533-position model. The record is from RNAcentral.
GUCGANCGGCAGCGCGGGGAGCUUGCUCCCUGGCGGCGAGUGGCGGACGGGUGAGUAACGCGUAGGAAUCUGCCCAGUAGUGGGGGACAACCCGAGGAAACUCGGGCUAAUACCGCAUACGCCCUACGGGGGAAAGCGGGGGACCUUCGGGCCUCGCGCUAUUGGAUGAGCCUGCGUCCGAUUANCUUGUUGGUGGGGUAAUGGCCUACCAAGGCGACAAUCGGUAGCUGGUCUGAGAGGACGAUCAGCCACACUGGGACUGAGACACGGCCCANACUCCUACGGGAGGCAGCAGUGGGGAAUAUUGGACAAUGGGCGAAAGCCUGAUCCAGCAAUGCCGCGUGUAUGAAGAAGGCCCUAGGGUUGUAAAGCACUUUCAGUAGGGAAGAAAAGCAGAGGGCCAAUACCCCUCUGUCAUGACGCUACCUACAGAAGAAGCACCGGCUAACUCCGUGCCAGCAGCCGCGGUAAUACGGAGGGUGCGAGCGUUAAUCGGAAUCACUGGGCGUAAAGGGCGCGUAGGCGGUCCGAUAAGUCGGGUGUGAAAGCCCCGGGCUCAACCCGGGAACUGCAUUCGAUACUGUCGGGCUUGAGUGUGGUAGAGGAAAGCGGAAUUCCCGGUGUAGCGGUGAAAUGCGUAGAUAUCGGGAAGAACACCAGUGGCGAAGGCGGCUUUCUGGACCAACACUGACGCUGAGGCGCGAAAGCGUGGGGAGCAAACAGGAUUAGAUACCCUGGUAGUCCACGCCCUAAACGAUGAGAACUAGCCGUUGGGGGUAANUGAAACCUUUAGUGNNNAAGCUAACGCGAUAAGUUCUCCGNCUGGGGAGUANGGNCGC